Long non-coding RNA from Gopherus evgoodei (Goodes thornscrub tortoise), 156 nucleotides. RefSeq lists it as uncharacterized. The transcript has 3 exons. NCBI's taxonomy places the organism in Eukaryota, Metazoa, Chordata, Testudines, Testudinidae. The record is from RefSeq and is a predicted model, not a curated record.
GGGCGGACUCACCGCAGGAAGCGCACGGUGGAGGGGGAUGCUGAAUGCUCCGAGGUCAGACCCAGGAAAGUCGAAGCUGUGUAAGCAUCUUGCCCUGGAAACAGUGCGCUCAGAGAAAGGAGGCUCCCCCAGAAUCCUGACUGGCCUCAUACGGAG